RNAcentral lists this microRNA precursor (63 nucleotides) under Microcebus murinus (gray mouse lemur). RNAcentral's name for it is "microRNA mmr-mir-381 precursor". Its record names the gene mmr-mir-381. The record is from miRBase by way of RNAcentral. Lineage: Eukaryota; Metazoa; Chordata; Mammalia; Primates; Cheirogaleidae.
AGCGAGGUUGCCCUUUGUAUAUUCGGUUUCUUGACGUGCAGUAUACAAGGGCAAGCUCUCUGU